UGGGGAAUAUUGCACAAUGGAGGGAACUCUGAUGCAGCGACGCCGCGUGAGUGAUGAAGGAAUUCGUUUCGUAAAACUCUGUUCUAUGGGAAGAAAAGGACUGUACCAUAGGAGAAAGCUCCGGCUAAAUACGUGCCAGCAGCCGCGGUAAUACGUAUGGAGCGAGCGUUGUCCGGAAUUAUUGGGCGUAAAGGGUGCGCAGGCGGCUUUACAAGUUGGAUGUGAAAUAUUGUGGCUCAACCACAAACGUGCAUCCAAAACUGCAAAGCUUGAGUUAAGGAGAGGUAAGUGGAAUUCCUGGUGUAGCGGUGGAAUGCGUAGAUAUCAGGAGGAAUACCGGUGGCGAAGGCGACUUACGGGACUUGAACUGACGCUCAGGCACGAAAGCGUGGGGAGCAAACAGG
RNAcentral lists this ribosomal RNA (404 nucleotides) under Fusobacteriota bacterium. RNAcentral describes it as "Fusobacteria bacterium partial 16S ribosomal RNA". It matches the Rfam family "Bacterial small subunit ribosomal RNA", at positions 355 to 776 of the family's 1533-position model. Lineage: Bacteria; Fusobacteriati; Fusobacteriota. The record is from RNAcentral.